AGGACGAACGCUGGCGGCGUGCUUAACACAUGCAAGUCGAGCGAGGCCCGUCCUUCGGGACGGUGCCCUAGCGGCGAACGGGUGAGUAACACGUGGGCAACCUGCCCCUAGCACUGGGAUAACUCCGGGAAACCGGGGCGUAAUACCGGAUAUGACCUUUGAGGGCAUCCUCGAAGGUGUAAAGGAUUCUGGCUAGGGAUGGGCCCGCGGCCUAUCAGCUUGUUGGUGGGGUAAUGGCCUACCAAGGCGACGACGGGUA
RNAcentral lists this ribosomal RNA (259 nucleotides) under uncultured bacterium. Its description in RNAcentral is "partial small subunit ribosomal RNA". It matches the Rfam family "Bacterial small subunit ribosomal RNA", at positions 26 to 285 of the family's 1533-position model. The record is from RNAcentral.